RNAcentral lists this long non-coding RNA (239 nucleotides) under Carica papaya (papaya). Its description in RNAcentral is "long non-coding RNA (CPAP_LNC015537)". Lineage: Eukaryota; Viridiplantae; Streptophyta; Magnoliopsida; Brassicales; Caricaceae. The record is from RNAcentral.
UAAAUUAAGGAGUUAAGAGGACACAGCAGGUCAAUCGAAGUAAGUAAUUUAUUCACAAACGCCUGAUUUCCUUCAGAGCAAGUUUCACAUUCCGCAAUGACGAAGAAGAUGAGUGUGAUGAAGAAGAAGAAGCAGAUUUCAUGGAAGUCUCUGACUUCAGUUGCUACAAAAACAAUGAAUUGGUAGAACACGGCGUCAAGAAAAGCUCCUUCCGUCGGCUUUCGUUGUCUGAGUUAGCG